Molecule: ribosomal RNA, 231 nt
Filed under: uncultured bacterium
Lineage: Bacteria
Description: partial 16S ribosomal RNA
Rfam family: Bacterial small subunit ribosomal RNA
Source: RNAcentral
CGGACGGGUGAGUAAUGUCUGGGAAACUGCCCGAUGGAGGGGGAUAACUACUGGAAACGGUAGCUAAUACCGCAUAACGUCGCAAGACCAAAGAGGGGACCUUCGGGCCUCUUGCCAUCGGAUGUGCCCAGAUGGGAUUAGCUAGUAGGUGGGGUAACGGCUCACUUAGGCGACGAUCCCUAGCUGGUCUGAGAGGAUGACCAGCCACACUGGAACUGAGACACGGUCCAG